This is a long non-coding RNA of Grus americana (Whooping crane), 623 nucleotides long. RefSeq lists it as uncharacterized. Lineage: Eukaryota; Metazoa; Chordata; Aves; Gruiformes; Gruidae. The record is from RefSeq and is a predicted model, not a curated record. The transcript has 3 exons.
CGCCCGCCGGCGUCCGCCUGCCUAGCCUAGCGGUCGUCCCAGCCGCCGGCGUCCGCCUGCCUAGCGGUCGUCCCACCGCCGCACCUGCUGCGCCCUCCCGGCCGGCGAGCCGCCGAGCGCGCUGUGGUAAGCGAGGGGAGAGCGGGGGGCGCCCCCGGCCGCGGUGGCCCGGCCCGGCCCUGCCCUCGCCUGAGGCGCUUGGCGGCGGGGUGCCCGUCAGGGAGGCGAAGCGGCGCCCAACCUUCAAACGUGCGCGCUCGGCGAAUCUUCUGGGAAAGGAAAGCAGCACUGGACAAGCUUUAAAAUAAUUUUAAACUUCUCUGUCUAUUAAGGUGAAACUGACCCACAUCCUCUUAAGACUAAAUCAAGCUGCAGGAGCACAGGAAUUUUCCAGAGCUUGUUGUAAGUGCUGUGGCUCAGUGGACGUCUGAGACUCUUUGGGACAAGAUUGAAGAUCCCAUUUCUAGCCUCAGUGAGUCACCGAACUCUAUGGGUGCUGAGACAACAACUCUGAAAAGCUGUACAGACAUGCUGAACACUGCAUGCUGCCAGUUUCCCCAGAGAAAUUAAGAAGGCUUUUAUAGGAAUAUAUAAACCUUUGCAGCAGACCUGCCCCAGGUGUG